UCUGAUGCUUUUUUUGGUUAUGUUUUCUUUGCUUUGGGUGUUUUACAUGGAAAUUUGAUAACCAAUUUAAAUUCUCCUUAAUCAUAUAAACUAGGAAUUCAUCUGAAAACUAAAGAAGCCUGGAACUUCUUCCUGUGAUAUCUUUGUAGCCUUACUAAUCAGGUGUGAGUUGCAGAAGGAUCUAAAUGUGGUUGUAGAUGACUAUUUUUAUUCUUUUUGUCAUUACUAAUUUGGUGAUCUUUAGUUAUUGUGCAAUGUGCAUGCAUGAUCAUGAAUAUUUUUUUAUUUUUAAACUGACUCAUUUUUCUUUCUGCAGAGGCUCUUUAGGUGUUUGCAGUCACACGAUUUUGAUGUUAUUAGUGUCCUUUCUGCUAACAUGAUGAAUCUCAUAUAGAAUCUUUGCAAAUAGACAUCCUG
Arachis ipaensis is the source of this 417-nucleotide non-coding RNA. Lineage: Eukaryota; Viridiplantae; Streptophyta; Magnoliopsida; Fabales; Fabaceae. The record is from RefSeq and is a predicted model, not a curated record.